GCUUAACCCCUUAAGGACACAUGACAUGUGUGACAUGACAUGAUUCCCUUUUAUUCCAGAAGUUUGGUCCUUAAGGGCUUAAGGACAGUCAGGUUUUACAGGUAACUCAGUAGUGACUGCGACCCAAAAAGCCUCUAAAGGUGUUCAGUCAUUCUAUGGAUACCAAACGAACAAUGCAGUGUCUCAGCCAUCCAUAAUGACAUUUGGAGUCUCGUUUAACUCACUGCCACUGCCCUAUUGAGAUCCAGCACAUUGUCAAAGUAUUUGGACAUGAACAAGACACUAUAGAAUACAAAUAUAACAGGAAAUAUGUUCAGGCAUUCAUCUUAGAAAUGGACAUGUCAUAUGAGUCUCAGAAAAUCACAGUUCUUUGAAAUAUAUUGAUCUCCUCAAUGGUUCUAUGUCAGUUUUGAACUUUGCACAUUUCUACUGGACGCCAUACCAUGCUUGGAUGAUUUAGUGCAACCCACCAAAAGACUUCACUGUUAAACAGUGUGACGAAUGUCUCUCGAAGGCUUGGACGGAAUCUAGUUCUAAUUCUGUAACUGCUUCUAACAUACACUUCUAUUGAACCUCAACGUGGAACUUGUUGGGAUCUAUUACAAAGGUAUUCUUUUAUUACAAAAAAAAUAAAAAGUAAAUAAAAUGAAUGUUCCCAUGAGA
This is a long non-coding RNA of Pelobates fuscus (common spadefoot toad), 663 nucleotides long. RefSeq lists it as uncharacterized. The transcript is spliced from 2 exons. Lineage: Eukaryota; Metazoa; Chordata; Amphibia; Anura; Pelobatidae. The record is from RefSeq and is a predicted model, not a curated record.